This 9801-nucleotide long non-coding RNA is filed under the name Olea europaea (common olive). Its description in RNAcentral is "long non-coding RNA (OEUR_LNC012469)". The record is from RNAcentral. Lineage: Eukaryota; Viridiplantae; Streptophyta; Magnoliopsida; Lamiales; Oleaceae.
UGGGAUCAGCUCCUGCCCGAACCAGACCUUUCAAUUGAUACAAAUCACCAUGAUAAGCCGCACUGUUCACCCUCAAAGCAAGCUCAGCCUCCUGUUUUUCGACAUGUAAGGUGAUAUCUGACUCCAGUUGCUUCACCCGAAGACUAGAUUCUUUACCCUAUCACAAAAUUCAAUUUUAGAUUUUGCAGAAAGAUUUUUUAUUCAAAACUUUAUAGGAGAAAUGAAAGAGCACUAUUCAAACAAGUAAUUUCAGUUUAAGCUUACAAUAACAAAUCUUAAUAUCACAGACAUGAAGAUGAAAAAUAUCUGAGUGACUGGGAGGAGAGGGCACUUAUCGACAGACUCAAAUCAAAUUACCUCCAAUAAGUUUGUCAAUAUUUUUCGCCCAUCAUGAAAAUAUAUGUCAAGAAUAUUGGAGAGAGACUGUCUAUCAAUCCGCAAGAGCCUACACAAUUCACAAACCCGAACUGUAUAUGGCUGAGGAAUGUUGCAAAGAAUGGAAAUUUCUCCAAAUAGGCUAUUAGUCUCCAGAAGUGAGACUGUUUCCUCUGAUCCAUCUGACCCAGUGCCAACCUCCUCCUGAGCAGAGUUAGCAGAAACGAAUCUGAUAAUUUAUUCUAUUCAUCGUAGAAAUUAAUAAAUCUUGCUCUCAACAUCAUGAUUAAAGGCUUUGGUAUGGUUUUGAAAUUAUGGGAGCUGGUAUCAAAAUUCAAUAAAGUACUGCUAAUAUAUUUUUGAUGGUUUUGAACGAUGAGAUAAUUUUUUCCAUUUUAAUGAAAACAGAUGAUAUCUCAUAGAGUUGAAAAGAGUCCUGGUGUGCAAAACGGAUAGUAGAAGAUGCAUGAUAUAACAGAGAGAACAAAAAUGGAACACAAUAAUCUGCAAGACAGACAUGCAUAAAAAUUAAUACAUAUAUAUAUAUUUACAAGGCAGAGUUAUGUACCAGAACACCAUCACAAACAAAAUAGAGUUGAUCCACAACAUUUCCCUGUUCCAUUAUAACUUCUCCUGGGUAAAAAAAUUCCUCGUGGACCUUAGUUACCUGCAAUAUAGACAAAAGUAGGAAAAAAGAAUCAGCCUUGGGAAUCAGGUUAAGUUAGCAUGAAGUUAAAAAAUUAUUUCAGUUAAAAUUGGUGAUGAAUAAGGCCCCGUUUGUUAGCAAUUUUUUUCAAAAUGCAUUUUACUCUCUCUUCUUUUCAACCACAUUCUUUAUUAAAAUAAUGUUACGCGUAAAUAAAAAAAAAAUUCUUAUUUUUCAACCACAUAUUUCACAUCAAUUUACUAUUCUAAAAUGCAUUUUUACAUAAAAAUAACUAUCAAACACCUCCUAAAAGUUAGAUCUUAAUAUGAAAAAUCAUGCCAAUUAACUUUGUAGAACCCUAAUAUGUCCUUCUAUAUCACAAACUUAGCCCCCUAUUUGGUAUUGAUUUAAAUCAAUUUUUAAUUUAAGUCAAAGUCAAACAAUCAAUAUUAACCACAUAUUUCAUGAAUCCCACAACUUUUCAACCACACAUUCAAAAACUUCUAUCAAAAUUUACUAAAAAAUAAUUUUAAUUCCCACUAAACAGGGGCCUAUUCAUUUAUUAGAUAUUUUUAAUAUUUGAGUGAUGGAAAAUUAGAGGGAAAAAAAUCAUUCAACCAUAAGAAAAAUAUAAAAUGACAUGGUGGAAUAAGAAAAUAACUUACAAUUUGAUUGAUGAACUCUGAGGAGCAUCCCUUGAAUAGAGGAACAUUUUCAACAUAAGACUUAUAUAAAGACUCAGAUAUCUGUAAGAAAUAAAUGAUUUAGUCAAUGGAAGAGUUAAUUUUUCAGACAAAAAUUAUGUUAGACCAAAGAGUCCAUCAAGGGAAAGAAGAUAGAUAGUAACUACUCAUAAAAAUGAAAGGAAGCCAAGGUAUAUUUCCCUUCUUUACAACUGAAGCAUUUUGUUCAACCUUUGCCUUUGAAGAACUAGAAAAAUAAAACAAAAGAUGAAAUAAUUUUGAUCUUAGUCAAAACUUCUCAGCAUAUGGGACUAUGUGCAGAAGAUAUAAAUUUUGCCUUUAGGUGUUUCUUCAACUGAGCUGUUAUUAGGCUACAUGAAAGCCAGUGUUUUACUAUUUCUAUUUACAACAGCCCUAUCUACAGAAUAUUAGUAUUAUACUAAAAUCUGGUACCAUAAACUAUAUAACUAAUCUGAAAUGUGUUAUAUAACACAGCAUUAGGCAUAAUUAUAUUGACCAAUUUAUGAUCAUACAUAUAAUAGUUUGCUGGACGCCAUCAAACUAAUGGGCCUUAUUGAUGAGCUUGGGUCAUCAAUAAUUUUUACCGCACUCAUCAGGAAAAGGAAUGAACUAAAGGUUUGGAGAUAUAUUAUGAAUAAAAUGAAGUUAAAUUUGAGACUGUCCACAGGGAGUGAAGGGUUGAUAUCAAUCUUAUAAUGUGGAUUUAAAGAAGAGUCCAGGUGAAUAGUUUAUGUUCAGGUCACUCAAAAGCAAAAAUGAUCCUUAGAGAUUAUCAAAUCCCCUUAUCUUAAGAUCCUUUAGGAUGUGGAAAAGAUAAUCAAAAGGUUGAUAAUUUCCCCAACUUACUUACUAAAGCUCUUAUAAGUGAUGUAGUUAUUUAGUUACCUUGGCACGAAUUGAGAUUGGGAUAUCUUGGAGAACAGAAGCAUCAGUGUAGCUGCUUUCAUAUUGUAAUCUCAAGUGACCUUUUAUUUGAUUACGGAUGUCCCUUCCGAGUUUAUUUCUGUUCAUAUAUUUAAUAAGAUCUGUCAUUUUAUCCCUAUAUCUUACUGUCUUUGAUCCUUUGACAAUCAAUGCUGUCAUGUUACCGAUCAAGUAUGCACCAAGAAUCAUGUCGAAAGAGACAUAAAUCAUAAUGAAUAUCAUUUCUCUCAGAUUGACUGCAUGUAUAUCUCCAUAGCCUAUAUCAAAAGGAGAUACUUGGUUAGCAUAAUAGAACACCUGGUAAAGGAGGAAGAUUUUGACAUAAAUGUGUGAGCAUUUUGAGCCAGUUAGCGAUAAAGUAAUAAUAUUAGCAAGAAGAAAGGACAAGAAUUAGACAUUAUUCAUUUAUGCAGGAAAUGCUCCAUCAUUCAUAAACUAAACACUAAAUUUCAUUAACUAUUACAGAAUCACUUCUUGUAGUUUAAAUGCCACUGCUACCAUUUACUAAGCUAGAAUAUCACUCAAUUUUUUCUUAUCAAUCAGCUUAAUUAGGAUGCAGUUAAAAGGCGGAGGCCACUUAUCUUUAGUGGUUCACAACAGUGGUUUUAGCAAAAACAAUGCUUGCAUAAAGUCCGUCGGUCAUAUAAAGUACAACUGACAUGUUAACCAAAAACUACGACCCCCCCCCCCCCCCCCCCCCCCCCCCGCCCAACCCCCCCCCCACAUUACUUUCCGCCAGGUAGCAGUUUUGGGGGGAUAAAAAAAAAAUCACUUUAGGGUGCAUUUGAUUGCAAAUAUGGAAUUUGCAUAAAAAGAAAAUAAAUUCUAGGUAAUUUCAUUGCCUAGAAUUUAUUUGUAUGAAGAUUGUCAAUUAAAUGUGUUUAAUUGAUUUAAUUUUUAACUUAGAAAAUAUUAUACUUGUCCAUUUUUAAUUGGUGGAUUAAUGAGAGUGAGUGUAUAAAUAAGAGAGAGAAAGAGAGAGUGAAUUCCGUGGAAAAUAAAAUUCUACUCUUCCUAAAGAAAAUUUUUUCCUUGAUUUUAAAUAUGGUCACGUAACCAAAAAGGGAAAAUAUUUUCCAUGGAAAAAAAUGGUAAUCAAACAGCACAAAAGUAAAAAUUUUGGUGAAAAAAACACACUUUCAGGUGGGCAAUCAAAUGCACUCUUAGUAUUAUACGAGGAUAAUUGGAAAUGGAUUAAAACUUGAGAGUGGAGCAAAAGAUUUAUAUCCAUCAUGGUUGUGACACUCAACAGUAAAGUGAAGUCGCCAAACAUUUUUUUAUGUCAGCAUGUUUCUCGCAUUCAAAACCACUUUCUUAUAGCCAUGUGGUAAUAUUUGUUCCAGAUAGAUAGAGUUAAACAUGUGUUGCACGUUAUUUUGAAAUCUUUUAUAAGUGUUGUGAAAGUAAUAUUUGAAUGUAAGUAUUAGAAUUACAUCUAAAUACAUGAAUGACAAAUACGUACAUCAAUUAACAUGAAUGUUAAUUUAUUAAGAAUUGGUACCAAAUAAUAUAUAAACGAAAUUGAAUGUUAAAUUAUCCAUACUAAAUGAAUAUAUUUAAUUUCCAACUAAAUGAAUCUGGACGCUAAUUAUCAUACAUAGAUGUGAAUAAUGAAAUGCAUUUUUGAAUAUGAAAUUUUAAUUAAAUAAAUGUAAAUAUUAAUUAAUUGAGAAUUAAUAACGGUGACAUGGAUGUGAGUGUGAAUGUAAAUAUGAAAUUCUGAUUAAUAUUAAUUAAAUAAAGGUGAAUGUUAAUUAAUUGAAAAUUAAUAAUAGGAAAUAUAUACAUGAAUAAGGAUUUUGUAUUAUUUACUAGAGUGUAAAUUAAACAUAUAUUGAAAAAUGAAAAGUAAGGUAUUAUUGAAAUAAAUGAAUUGUUUAAAGCUAUAAUCGUUCAAAAAAUGAUUCUCACUUGAUUUGAUAUUUAAUAUAUUAUAGAUAUAUGUACAUAUUAGUACAAUAUAGGGAAACCAUACUAAUCAAAACGAUACUAGAGCAUAGAGCACCCUUCUUUCAAUGUUACAGAUUCAACCUUUACAGACAUUCAUUAACAAUCAUGUUCGAGGGAAAUGACUUCUCACCUAAACUUUCCCACCAAAGGAUUAGAGUCUUGGGAAGAGUGGACCUCAUAAACGAAGUCCCACAACGAGUGAUUCUCCCCCCCAAGAAACACGAAAUGCGAUAUUCCCAAACUCAAGAAAGCAACGUGUGUUUUAAAUGAUAUACAAGGGAGUGACAUUUAAUUUGUUUCAUUAACCAAAUAUAACUUUUGGCCAUCACUUAUCAUAUCGACCUCAAGAAUUUUUCCUCCAUCUUCUGAUAAUAUACAUGAGCCAUGUGGAAAUUUCAGUUGCUCUGAUGCUGUUUUGAUUAGCUCCUCAAUGCUGUGAGGAAUCCACAUUACAAGACCACAUUUUGUACCUUCCUUGGAAGCCCAUGGGUGGAAAGGAAACACAGUGCACUUCUUUGGGUGCAUUUUAUCUGACAUCAAAUUGAAAAGCUCUCAGAGAAAAUGAUUAGUCGAGGUGACUAAUGUGAGAGUAAUAUGAAAACCAAUGCAAGUGUAGAAAGGCACGUUAGAAAUUGCAGCAAAAAUUCUUUCUUUAAUAGCUUAAAUUUAGACGAGGAGGAUCAAAAUCGUCUUAAAUUAGACAGAGAUUCUAAAUUCAAGCCAUGUCAUUGCCGACACCCAUUUAUGAAAAUAGCACAAUUUCAAGCUCUUGAUAAAAGAUGAUUUUAGACUGCACAUGAGGGCUCCUUAAACUUCUAGAUUAUGUGGUUCAAAAAGAAGUAAUUUUAUAGUUACUCAACAUCUAACUUACAUGGACUCUUUUACCUAUAUAUUCAAGAACUAGGUAGACAAUGCUUGACAAUUGAAACUUGCACAGAUAUACGUAAAUUAAAUUUAGAAAUUUUUGCAUCACUCAUCCACUAGAAUCUAUGUCCUCUUAUAUUUGUCUGUUGUUCCACUAUAUAUAAUUAGUCUUGCAUCCUUUUUAAAAACUCUCCAGCACACAAGGAACCAUUUUACUGAAAAAAAUAAAGAGGUUAAACAUCAAAGAGUUUGCCGUGUCAGCUAUCUUUAUCUUUGAAGAUCAAAUGGAAAUUAAAAGACGAUGCAUCAAUUAAUAAAGUGCGUGCAACAUAUCUCAAAGCAUGAAGUGCAAAUAAAAACUAUGUUAAGUGCAAAAACACAGACAAUAAGGUAAAAUUGAGGUUUGAUGAAGCAAAAGGGCCCAUAAUAGUCAGUGUUCUUUGAUUUUGAUCCAGCUUUACUAGAAGGAAAGCUUAAGUACUUUCACUAUAUCGAAUAAGGAGGUUUUAGUUAUUAACUAUGAGGCAACUAUAUGGACGCGUGUGUCUGAAACAACAUGCAUCUAUCAUGUCGACACUUGAUUUUUCAAAAAAGCACUGACACGACACAUUUUCGACAAGUUGAUUAAAUUAUUUAAAAUUCUGCAUUUAUAUAGGAGUAGUUUGAGGCCUAUUUUUCUAAAAAAAUGCAUUUUGAAAUAGUGUUAUAAUGGAAAAUGUGUGGUCAAAAAAUAAGAAAAUAUUUUGAUUUUGCGUGUAAUAUUAUUUUAUUACAAAAUGUGUGGUUGAAAUGGUAUCAAAUCACUGUUAAAAAAUGUAUUUUAAUGAAAAAAUGGGGCUCAAACAAAGGUAUAGUAUAAAUUUAGUUUUAUAAUUGUUAUCAAUUUUUCUUAUCAAGAUCUUUUAAAUAUAAGUACAUAUUUGUUAUUUAAUAAUAACUUUGAAUUAAAAAUAUAUAAUAUUGUUAAUAAAAAAAAUGAUCAUGGAAGAAUAAUGGAGGAGUGUCGGUAUCCGACACGUGUCGGAUACUGACAUGCUAUCUUAGUUGAAGUGUUCGUGCUACAAAGGUUAUUAAGGUCUAUGAUCAUUAUAAUACCAUUUUUCCUAUUCUGUUUGUGUGUAGAUGUGUUUGCACUACCUUGAUGCAAUGCAACUUUAAUAUUGGUGACUUCCAUUUUAAUAUGCUAUAUUCUUCAGCAGUAGUAACGAAAGUUAAUAUCUGGAUUAUGCACACUAAAAAACUGAGAAUCUGGUACCUGUGACAUCUUGAGAGCAAUCAGGGAACUUGGAUAAUUGGGCAGCUUUAGCUUCUUCCAGAAGUCUAAUCAUAUUCUUGUUUCCACACAUUUUCCCUUCGUCUACUGGGGUGUUUCCCCAUCUGAAAAUUUAUAAGUUACACAAAAAUGUAGCUGUACUCGACAAAUUAAGAGCAGAUGAGAAUAAUUAUUUUCCAACUAAUCUCAAUAAACUAAUCAAAGAUGGACGAAUUUGAAACUUAUUAAAGAAUAUGAGCUAAACUCAAACUCAGCUUUACAACUCCAGCAUCCUGUGAAUACGAAAAACCAGACACUUCCUAAAGUCAGAAUUGAGCUUCAUUUGAAGCCUGAUUACUGGACCAGAAUUAGUAGUUGCUGUACUUUCUGGACAGAAUAAUCGAGUAGAAUAACAGUACGAAGUAAUGUUAAACUUAGGUUGAGAAAGGCUUAGAACAUCAUGGUAACAAAUAGAACUUUCCCAUCCACAAAAAUAUCAAAGAUUUACAGAAUUAAAUAAAAAAUGAGUAGGUCUUGGCAAACUCUCUUUUGUACUUGAUUUUCUAAUUCCAUCAGAACUAGUGUUCCUACCAGAGGUUGAUCUGACUACAGUAAGUGUUGAAAUUCUCUUUCCCUAGGGAAACAAACAUAAUUCAAGAAUUACGAUAUCAAAACACCUGGGUCGUUAUUGGGUGGUUUUGAGGAAAUCUCGAGAGAAUCUGAUUUCUUAUAACCAAUGCACACUAAGUAAGAUCUAUGUUUUUAAGUUAGAAAUGUUAAGGAAAAAACUAAAGAUUGCAACACGCAAGCCCCAUAAAAAACUCAAAUGCCAUGAAAAUGUACACCAGGAGUUACAAAUUUGUAUCUUGUGCAAGUGUUGGAUGCUGAAUCUGUAUGGUAGAAGUAUAGUAUACUCACAAGAGCCGUGUAAUUUCAUAUUAAUGUAAAAUGGCUUAAAGUAGAAUUAAAGUUCACACAUUGUUGAACGACAUAAAAACUGUCUGACUUAAAAGAAAAGUUAGUGAUUUUCUUUUUCUGCAGAACUUAUAAAUGAAACUGAAUGCAUCAAAUGUAAAAUCAAAACUCACUGCUGCUUCUGCUCAGGCUUCAAAAGAAACUGGGAAUUAAAGCAAACAAGUGUGCACUUGGAAUGGAAGUAAAAAAUGAAAAAUCUAAAUAACCUUAGACUAGAAAGAAAUACAUUUUACCUGUCCCUUGAGAAAACACUUGCCCCCGCUUCCAAAAGCAAUUUUGCCAUCAAAUAUAAUCCAUGAGUGGCAGCUAUAUGAAGUGGGGUUCGGUGAUCAUAGUCUUUGAAGUUUGGAUCAAUUCCAUGGGAUAAAAGUCUUCUGAGAAAAUCAGUAUCUCCUCUUGCGACCAAUGUGCAUAAGAAACUACCAGAAUUCUCAAUCUUCAACAAGGCCCCCUCUCUAGAAAGCAAUGCAGCAACUCUGUCGUGUCUACCCUUGAUUGCUUCAAAUAAGGGUGUAUUUCCAAAAUUAUCUGUUCAGAGAAACAACUGCAUUAAGUCCUAUAUGUUACUUAAUGGAAAUUCAAAAUCUCAAAUGCGAACACCAAUUAACCAACUCAAAAAUUUACCUGCAGCAUUCACAUCUACACCUUCUUGUAUCAGAAAAAGAGCAAUAUCUUCGUAACCUCGUGAUGCAGCAAGAUGCUGUUGAAAAACAAGGCACUGUUUAGGGACCUCUAAUCUGUUGCUUUCAUUAUAUAAUCUUUUUGAAGAUCCAAGUUUUUAAAAUAAAGUCAUGUUGUGUACUUGUGUCAUGAAAUAACAGAGUCAUGAAGCAUCAAAGACUAAAGCAUUGACACGCACAAGACACAACAUGAAUAUGAUGACACGAAAUUUAAAAAAAAAAAUAAAAAUGACACGACACGACACAUCCCGACAUGCUGAUUAAAAUAAUAAUACUAAUAUAUAUAUAUUUUUUUAAUCUUGUAUAUUACAAAGUAAAUUUAUUCUUGUUAAUUUCAACAUGUCAAUAAUGUACUUCUGACGUGUUGACAAUGUAUAUCCCAACGUGUCUACAUGACCAACUGUACAAAAUAAAAAUAAUUUGGACAUGCCACCAAAUGUUCCACACGUAUGUCAAUGUCCAACAUGAUAUAUUUUCCAACGUGUCAACGAUGUGUCCAACUGUACAAAACGUAAAAAUUAUUUGGACAUGCCACAUGUGUCAGCGAGUCAGAUGCAGACUAGUCGGUGCAUCCUAGAUCAAAGGUCCAAAAACAGGAAAAAGAUGUAGUGGGACAUUGGAAAUUAUUUUGCAUGGAUCUUCAUGACUGCAAAAAGAUUCAAUCAUUGAAGUGCAUAGAUCUUUAUGACUGCAAGAAAUGAAAAUAUAUAAAAAGGACCUUAGAUGUUAAUUUUUCUAACUUAAUAAUCUCUUCAUUCAACCACUUUAUGUAACAAAUUCGCUAAAUGAUAAAUUUUUGGGGAGGAAAAAAUUUGAAAAAUGAUAAAAUAUGAAUGGUAAGAGAUGAUGCAUCUAUGUAUCCCCUUUGGAUGCAGAAAGAAACGGUAUAUUAACAAAAUUUGAAUGCUGGAUACAAUGCCAAAGUUCCACAAAUCUAGUAGUUCAGGGAAACAGAAAAUCCCCAUUUCUCAAUGCUUGAGUGUGCUGUUUAGUUAAACUUAAAAGGGUACCCAGAAUAGCUACUGAAACAAUAAUAAUUAAGAUUUGUAAGAAAACUAGUACGUGGCCAGUUACCUAUAAACAACAAUUUUUAAUCAAUUUGAUCAUUUUUCUUAAAGGUGGUAUAAACUUCUGGAUCAUCAAAAUGUUUAUGCAGAGAAGAAAUUGGUGAAUUUAAGCGACCAAAAAAAAUAAUAAUAAAUUGAAAACACAUAGUUUUAUAUAGUUGGCUUGAAAAGUUAGACUGCAGAAUACAAAUUUGAUUAUCUUAAAUCAUACCAAGGGUGAUCUCCCAUCAUAAUCUUUCUUGUUGGGAUCAGCUCCUGCCCGAACCAGACCUUUCAAUUGAUACAAAUCACCAUGAUAAGCCGCACUGUUCACCCUCAAAGCAAGCUCAGCCUCCUGUUUUUCGACAUGUAAGGUGAUAUCUGA